AGUUGGAGAGCAUGAUCUUGACAUGAAUCGAUGAAUAAAUUGCCAGAUCUAACUCUUCCAGCUCG
Molecule: microRNA precursor, 65 nt
Filed under: Eisenia fetida (common brandling worm)
Lineage: Eukaryota; Metazoa; Annelida; Clitellata; Crassiclitellata; Lumbricidae
Description: Efe-Mir-750-P2_pre stem-loop
Source: RNAcentral